Molecule: ribosomal RNA, 1253 nt
Filed under: Triticum aestivum (bread wheat)
Lineage: Eukaryota; Viridiplantae; Streptophyta; Magnoliopsida; Poales; Poaceae
Description: partial small subunit ribosomal RNA
Source: RNAcentral
GCCUCUCUUCUCAGCAUCUCUCGCACAUAUCCAUCCCCACUCAUUUCUCUCCAUGCGCCUGGCUUCGGCCAGCGCCGCGGUUUCUCCGGCAAGGCCCCCACCGGCGAGGCAUCCCCUGCUCCUCUCUUCAUCUCUCUUCACCUCUGCUCGUCGGCCCUCCCCUUCCUGCUCCCCGACGCCCCCGUGUGAUGGACCACGGGUCGGCGCUGGACGGAGGAGGAAGCACGCCGGGGAUUUGCAUCUGGUGGACGGGAACAGCUGCAACCGGUGGACAGAGGAGCUGCGAUGGGUGGGUGACCACGACCACGGGCAGGCAACGGGGUGGAUGGCAGUGCCCCGACAAGUGCUACAACCACGGCAACUAGAUGUUCGAACCAGCGCCUAAUUGUGCUACUACAGGCAUUUUGAUUUGAUGGAACCAUCAUCGUCCAAUUUGCAGCUUUUUGCUACCACCGUAAUAUGUAUUUGCUGGAACCAUCAACAUUUUUUUUGCUACCAUCUUUUUUUGAUUUUGUUGGAAUCAUGCCCAAUUUACUCUUUUUGCUACCACCAUAAUACUUUUUUGCUGGAAGUUUUGUUGGUACACCGCCAAAAUUUUGCAUUUUUGCUAUCACAUGCCUUUUGAAUUGCUGGAACGAGCUUCAUUUUUUGCUACAACCGGCAUCUUUGAUUUUUUUUUCUUCAACAAAGUCCAUUUUUCCAAUUUUUGAUACCAGCGUUUUCAAGUUUGCUGGAAGCAGCACAUUUUUUUGCUACAACCGUUGUUUUGGAUGCGAACCACGACGUCCUCCCCAUUGUCGACGGCGGACGCUGGGGGGAAGGAGCGAAGGCGUCCCAUUGGAGCUGGGCGAUGACCGGCGGCGAGGGGAAGGCGCCUAACUGCGCUGCAGGGGGAGGGGUCGCGCGAGGCGCGACCUGCUUCGAGGUCUGCAGCCAGCGGGGCGGUCGGCGGGGUGGAAACUACUUGCAGAGAGGGAUCGCGGUGGUGAAAGACGAAGUCAACGAAGGGCGUGGGCUGGCAAAACAGACGGUCGAUGACGCGCUAAUCGUGCGGCUGCCGUGCGACCGGCCCAAAUUUGGGCCGGCGCACCGGCGCCUAUCAGUGCCCUUAAAAGAAUUGAUCAACCAACCAUUGUAAGUGCUUACCGAACAAGAACGACUAGUUCACAAUCACUAGGAAGCCGAGCAUGCAGCUAUAUUGGCCGACCCCCUUGCAUUUCCUUCGAUUCAAUCAUUCGUGUGCACGAGUAACC